AAUUCGUUGUGUGGGUAGGAAAAGGAACCGUUCAAAUAGUAAAGGUGGAAAUAGGACCUUUUCCCUCUUUUGAAUUGCCACCGUGUCAUCCGACUCUACUAUUUUAACGGUUGACUAACGUCCGUUUGAGUCAAUGUUGAAUUCAACUAUAAACACAGAGUAUGGGUAGUUAAUUUGAAAUUUGUUACGAAAACUGUUGAAAUAAGCACCAACU
RNAcentral lists this long non-coding RNA (214 nucleotides) under Arabidopsis lyrata. RNAcentral describes it as "long non-coding RNA (ALYR_LNC000696)". Lineage: Eukaryota; Viridiplantae; Streptophyta; Magnoliopsida; Brassicales; Brassicaceae. The record is from RNAcentral.